CUGUGAGACAGUUAUGGGAGGUGAUUAUUACCAAAUCGUUUUGAGGACGGAAUUUGGCUCAGGCAUUUAUCACAUUUGAACAUUUGAGAUGCUGUGCGAUGAGAUCAGAGAACAGUCAUCCGAACACAUCAUCUGCUGAGUCACUGGAGUUCCUGUGAUGUGUUUGCGUUUACACUGACCUCACUGAAACGAAGUCUGAGCUGAAGAUGAACAUAUUCAGAGCAGAUGUCAUUCACAUCUGACAUGUUCCCCAUUAAACUCUCUCUGUGGUUGGUGUUUCCUGGCAUGAUUAAUAAAGCGGCGGUUCCCCAGACGCUUCCAAACUCUGGAAAAACCCACAGGCCUUGGGCUGCAGAAUGAAUCACAAGCAGGAAGUUCAGCCAUGAGGGGCUGAUGAUACGUUUGCUUCUCUAGACGGCAGUGGGACGAAACAUGAAAUCAGAGAUUGAUCCUUUGACCCAGCUCUCUCUCUCUCUCUCUCUCUCUCUCUCUCUCUCUCUCUCUCUCUCUCUUUAUUUGUGUUUGCUGUAACAGAGCCCAGUGAUCUUUAACCUCUAAAACUCCCACAUUCUUCUAUUAGGACAAAAUCAGUCUCAAAUUAGAACUCAAACAAACAUGGUUUCAUAUCCUCCCAGGGACUUUCCACUGACUUCUUGUUUUUAUACUGAGCUGAUUAUAUAUGCAUAUCAAAAGUUUGUAGUAAGAUUUUUAAUGUUUUUAAUAAAGUCUCUUUGGCUCACCAAGGCUGCAUUUAUUUGAUAAAAAAAAAAAUACAGGGAGAAAACAAUAAUAUUAUUGCAAUGUAAAACAACUUUUCUAUGUUUUCUAUGUGAAUAUCUGUUAAAAAGUAAUUGAUUUCUGUGAUGCGUGGCUGAAUUUUCGGCAUCAUGACUCCAGUCUUCAGUGUCACAUGAUCCUUCAGAAAUCUUUCUGUGACAUAGGACCACAAAACCAGUCAUAAGGGUCAAUUUUUUGAAACUGAGAUUUAUUCGUCAUCUGAAAGCUGAAGCUCUCAAUUGAUUUAUGGUUUGUUAGGAUGUGAUGUAUUUGGAUGAGAUUUAACUAUUUGAAAAUCUGCAAUCUGAGGGUGCAGAAAAAAAAAUCAAAAUAUUGAGAAAAUCGCCUUUAAAGUUGUCCAAAUGAAAUUCUUA
Labeo rohita (rohu) is the source of this 1151-nucleotide long non-coding RNA. RefSeq lists it as uncharacterized. The transcript is spliced from 3 exons. The record is from RefSeq and is a predicted model, not a curated record. NCBI's taxonomy places the organism in Eukaryota, Metazoa, Chordata, Actinopteri, Cypriniformes, Cyprinidae.